RNAcentral lists this ribosomal RNA (804 nucleotides) under uncultured bacterium. RNAcentral's name for it is "bacterial SSU rRNA". It matches the Rfam family "Bacterial small subunit ribosomal RNA", at positions 1 to 811 of the family's 1533-position model. The record is from RNAcentral.
GAAUUCGCCCUUAGAGUUUGAUCCUGGCUCAGGACGAACGCUGGCGGCGCGCCUAACACAUGCAAGUCGAACGAGCGAGAGAGAGCUUGCUUUCUUGAGCGAGUGGCGAACGGGUGAGUAACGCGUGAGGAACCUGCCUCAAAGAGGGGGACAACAGUUGGAAACGACUGCUAAUACCGCAUAAGCCCACGGCUCGGCAUCGAGCAGAGGGAAAAGGAGCAAUCCGCUUUGAGAUGGCCUCGCGUCCGAUUAGCUGGUUGGUGAGGUAACGGCCCACCAAGGCGACGAUCGGUAGCCGGACUGAGAGGUUGAACGGCCACAUUGGGACUGAGACACGGCCCAGACUCCUACGGGAGGCAGCAGUGGGGAAUAUUGCACAAUGGGGGAAACCCUGAUGCAGCGACGCCGCGUGGAGGAAGAAGGUCUUCGGAUUGUAAACCUCUGUUCUAAGUGACGAACAAAUGACGGUAGCUUAGGAGAAAGCCCCGGCUAACUACGUGCCAGCAGCCGCGGUAAUACGUAGGGGGCAAGCGUUGUCCGGAAUUACUGGGUGUAAAGGGAGCGCAGGCGGAGAAGCAAGUCAGUGGUGAAAACGAUGGGCUUAACUCAUCGACUGCCAUUGAAACUGUUUCCCUUGAGUGAAGUAGAGGCAGGCGGAAUUCCGAGUGUAGCGGUGAAAUGCGUAGAUAUUCGGAGGAACACCAGUGGCGAAGGCGGCCUGCUGGGCUUUAACUGACGCUGAGGCUCGAAAGUGUGGGGAGCAAACAGGAAUAGAUACCCUGGUAGUCCACACUGUAAACGAUG